AGUGAACGCUGGCGGUAGGCCUAACACAUGCAAGUCGAACGGCAGCACAGUAAGAGCUUGCUCUUACGGGUGGCGAGUGGCGGACGGGUGAGGCAUACAUCGGAAUCUACUUUUUCGUGGGGGAUAACGUAGGGAAACUUACGCUAAUACCUCAUACGACCUACGGGUGAAAGCAGGGGAUCUUCGGACCUUGCGCGCUUGAAUGAGCCGAUGUCGGAUUAGCUAGUUGGCGGGGUAACGGCCCACCAAGGCGACGAUGCGUAGCUGGUCUGGCAGGAUGGUCGGCCCCACUGGUACUGAGACACGGUCCAGAAUUCCAAGGGGGGGAGCAGUAGGGGAGCUUCGGAAAUGGGGGGAAGCCUUGAGGCGCCAAGCCGCGGGGGGGAAAAAGGGCUUCGGGGUGUAAAACCCUGUUUUUGGGGAAGAAAAAAUGUGAGAGUAACUACCCGCGUCUUGACGGUACCUAAAAAGAAAGCCACGGCUAAACACGUG
This 492-nucleotide ribosomal RNA is filed under the name uncultured bacterium. RNAcentral's name for it is "partial 16S ribosomal RNA". It matches the Rfam family "Bacterial small subunit ribosomal RNA", at positions 29 to 507 of the family's 1533-position model. The record is from RNAcentral.